This 72-nucleotide transfer RNA is filed under the name Camelus ferus (Wild Bactrian camel). It matches the Rfam family "tRNA". Rfam says of the family: Transfer RNA (tRNA) molecules are approximately 80 nucleotides in length. Lineage: Eukaryota; Metazoa; Chordata; Mammalia; Artiodactyla; Camelidae. The record is from Rfam by way of RNAcentral.
GAAGGUACAGCUCAGUGGUAGAGCAUGUGCUUAGCAUGCACGAGGUCCUGGGUUCCAUCCCCAGUGCCUCCA